This 71-nucleotide transfer RNA is filed under the name Dipodomys ordii (Ord's kangaroo rat). It matches the Rfam family "tRNA". From Rfam's summary of the family: Transfer RNA (tRNA) molecules are approximately 80 nucleotides in length. Their secondary structure includes four short double-helical elements and three loops (D, anti-codon, and T loops). Lineage: Eukaryota; Metazoa; Chordata; Mammalia; Rodentia; Heteromyidae. The record is from Rfam by way of RNAcentral.
GGUAAGGUAGCUCAGUAGUAGAGUGCUUGCCUUCCAUGCAUAAGACCCUGGGUUCGAAUUCCUCAGUACCA